Molecule: long non-coding RNA, 607 nt
Filed under: Gallus gallus (chicken)
Lineage: Eukaryota; Metazoa; Chordata; Aves; Galliformes; Phasianidae
Description: long non-coding RNA NONGGAT011988
Source: RNAcentral
AUGGUCACUAAUAUUCCGUUGGUACGUCUGAAGAUCACAAUAACUAUUCUGUCACACUCAGAGCGAUGCCCUGUAUGUGUAAGGUGAGCUGCUUCUCCUCUAUUCAGAUUCUGCAGAGGAAAAUGGUCCAGAAUACCAUCAGUAAGGAAGGUGGAAUACUCUUAAGUCUUCCAGUAACAUUUCAGGAGAUAUUAAGAAACAGCAGUGAGCCAACAGUCUUCACAGUUAAGCAUUUUUGAAUACUUCAGAUAAAAGAACAAUGCUGUUUUGGUAAGCAUUCUUUCUGAACUGCAAUCUAGUGCCUAACAUGCUCUGAAGCUGUGUUUUCAGUGUUGUGAUGGAUGUUUUCUGGGACAGCUUCUGACUUGUUACAUACUAUCUACAUUAUCCAAGGCCUGCUUCAGAUGAAGGGAUGGACACACUGGAUUGGAAAAAACAAGAGUGCAACUUCAUUUAGCAAGAAUAACUGCACGAGAGAAGCAGGCAGGCGAUCCUUGCCAAGUUUUCAUCUUGGUGUUUCACCAUGCGACAACCUUCAGGCCAGUAAGCUCCCACUGGGGUUUGAAAGAACUUUUGGAGCUUUGAAAGACAAAAGCACCUCUUCAGA